UGAUGGAGUGAUUUGUCUGGUUAAUUUCGUUAACGAACGAGACCUUAACCUGCUAAAUAGUUACAUGUAACCUCGGUUACCUGGGCAACUUCUUAGAGGGACUUUGCGUGUCUAACGCAAGGAAGUUUGAGGCAAUAACA
RNAcentral lists this ribosomal RNA (140 nucleotides) under uncultured eukaryote. RNAcentral's name for it is "partial 18S ribosomal RNA". It matches the Rfam family "Eukaryotic small subunit ribosomal RNA", at positions 1299 to 1458 of the family's 1831-position model. The record is from RNAcentral.